RNAcentral lists this unclassified non-coding RNA (367 nucleotides) under soil metagenome. Its description in RNAcentral is "partial contains 5.8S ribosomal RNA, internal transcribed spacer 2, and large subunit ribosomal RNA". The stretch from base 1 to 120 matches the Rfam family "5.8S ribosomal RNA", at positions 35 to 154 of the family's 154-position model. The record is from RNAcentral.
GAUGAAGAACGUAGCGAAAUGCGAUAAGUAAUGUGAAUUGCAGAAUUCAGUGAAUCAUCGAAUCUUUGAACGCAUCUUGCGCUCCUUGGUAUUCUGAGGAGCAUGCCUGUUUGAGUGUCAUUAAAUUCUCAACUACACUGACUUUGAAUUGGUGUGGCUUGGAUUUGGGGGGAAAAUUGUUGUGGGCUUUUUGUAUAGUCUGCUCCCCUGAAAUUGAUUAGCGGUACCUUUGUGGAACUGUCUACAGGUGUGAUAAUUAUCUACAUCUGCUGGAAUGCUGCUUUCUAAACCUUACUAGUAUUGACAAUCUUGACCUCAAAUCAGGUAGGACUACCCGCUGAACUUAAGCAUAUCAAUAAGCGGAGGA